UGCCAGCAGCCGCGGUAAGACGAACCGUCCAAACGUUAUUCGGAAUUACUGGGCUUAAAGGGUGCGUAGGCGGCGCCGUAAGUCGGGUGUGAAAUCCCACAGCUCAACUGUGGAAUUGCGCACGAUACUGCGGUGCUCGAGGGAGACAGAGGGAAGCGGAACUCAUGGUGGAGCGGUGAAAUGCGUUGAUAUCAUGAGGAACACCAGUGGCGAAAGCGGCUUCCUGGGUCUCUUCUGACGCUGAGGCACGAAAGCUAGGGUAGCGAACAGGAUUAGAUA
This 279-nucleotide ribosomal RNA is filed under the name uncultured bacterium. Its description in RNAcentral is "partial 16S ribosomal RNA". It matches the Rfam family "Bacterial small subunit ribosomal RNA", at positions 506 to 784 of the family's 1533-position model. The record is from RNAcentral.